This 492-nucleotide ribosomal RNA is filed under the name uncultured bacterium. RNAcentral describes it as "partial 16S ribosomal RNA". It matches the Rfam family "Bacterial small subunit ribosomal RNA", at positions 29 to 507 of the family's 1533-position model. The record is from RNAcentral.
AGUGAACGCUGGCGGUAGGCCUAACACAUGCAAGUCGAACGGCAGCACAGUAAGAGCUUGCUCUUACGGGUGGCGAGUGGCGGACGGGUGAGGAAUACAUCGGAAUCUACUUUUUCGUGGGGGAUAACGUAGGGAAACUUACGCUAAUACCGCAUACGACCUACGGGUGAAAGCAGGGGAUCUUCGGACCUUGCGCGAUUGAAUGAGCCGAUGUCGGAUUAGCUAGUUGGCGGGGUAAAGGCCCACCAAGGCGACGAUCCGUAGCUGGUCUGAGAGGAUGAUCAGCCACACUGGAACUGAGACACGGUCCAGACUCCUACGGGAGGCAGCAGUGGGGAACAUUGGACAAUGGGCGCAAGCCUGAUCCAGCCAUACCGCGUGGGUGAAGAAGGCCUUCGGGUUGUAAAGCCCUUUUGUUGGGAAGGAAAAGCAGCAGGUUAAUACCCCGCUGUUCUGACGGUACCCAAAGAAUAAGCACCGGCUAACUUCGUG